GAGGUCCUAGCUUAAUGAAAGCAUCUGAGUUGCAUUCAGAGGAUGCAGGGUAAUGUCCUGCGGAUUUUA
RNAcentral lists this transfer RNA (69 nucleotides) under Pomatostomus ruficeps (chestnut-crowned babbler). Its description in RNAcentral is "tRNA-Ala". It matches the Rfam family "tRNA". Rfam says of the family: Transfer RNA (tRNA) molecules are approximately 80 nucleotides in length. Their secondary structure includes four short double-helical elements and three loops (D, anti-codon, and T loops). Lineage: Eukaryota; Metazoa; Chordata; Aves; Passeriformes; Timaliidae. The record is from RNAcentral. RNAcentral also lists the same sequence under 1 other name.